CCCCUUGUGGUGUAGUUGGCUAUCACGUUCGGCUGUAAAUGCGUUUACCGAUACCGAAAGGUCACCGGCUCGAUUCCGGUCGAGGGGA
The sequence is a transfer RNA, 88 nucleotides long. It matches the Rfam family "tRNA". Rfam says of the family: Transfer RNA (tRNA) molecules are approximately 80 nucleotides in length. Their secondary structure includes four short double-helical elements and three loops (D, anti-codon, and T loops). The record is from Rfam.